RNAcentral lists this ribosomal RNA (403 nucleotides) under uncultured bacterium. Its description in RNAcentral is "partial 16S ribosomal RNA". It matches the Rfam family "Bacterial small subunit ribosomal RNA", at positions 30 to 526 of the family's 1533-position model. The record is from RNAcentral.
AUUGAACGCUGGCGGCAGGCCUAACACAUGCAAGUCGAGCGAGCGGCGGACGGGUGAGUAAUGUAUGGGGACUGCCCGAUAGAGGGGGAUAACUAAUGGAAACGGUGGCUAAUUCCGCCUACUAUCGGCUAAUCCAUAUGGGAUUAGCUAGUAGGUGGGGUAAAGGCUCACCUAGGCGACGAUCUCUAGCUGGUCUGAGAGGAUGAUCAGCCACACUGGAACUGAGACACGGCCCAGACUCCUACGGAGGCAGCAGUGGGGAAUAUUGGACAAUGGGCGAAAGCCUGAUGCAGCCAUGCCGCGUGUAUGAAGAAGGUCUUAGGGUUGUAAAGUACUUUAAGUGGGGAGGCGUUACCCGCAGAAUAAGCACCGGCUAACUCCGUGCCAGCAGCCGCGGUAAUAC